CACGUAGGGGGCAAGCGUUGUCCGGAUUCAUUGGGCGUAAAGAGCUCGUAGGCGGUUCGAUAAGUCGGGUGUGAAACCUCCAGGCUCAACCUGGAGACGCCACCCGAUACUGCUUUGGCUAGAGUCCGGUAGGGGAGCAUGGAAUUCCUGGUGUAGCGGUGAAAUGCGCAGAUAUCAGGAGGAACACCAGUGGCGAAGGCGGUGCUCUGGGCCGGAACUGACGCUGAGGAGCGAAAGCGUGGGGAGCAAACAGG
Molecule: ribosomal RNA, 254 nt
Filed under: uncultured bacterium
Lineage: Bacteria
Description: partial 16S ribosomal RNA
Rfam family: Bacterial small subunit ribosomal RNA
Source: RNAcentral